UGUAUGUUUGUUUGGGGGAAAAGCAAAGCUGUAGCUGCACAUCGUAGCCUCUUUAUGUUGUUUUGUUUUUUGUCACUGGUCUUUUAAGUACUUAGUUAUUUUCUUGCUUCAUUCACCUCCAAGUUACCACCAUCACCAUUUCUCACCAUCGUCACGAUGUUACCGUUUCACCGCUGUCAACUGCAUCUACAGCACAGCACCACCACACUCAGGCCGUCAAUACUACGACUAAUUGGUACAUAAUCAGAUUACAGGGAAAUUUGCAUGCUGGUUACUCUGAAAGUUCAGACCACUUUCAACUCGCUGUAGUGGCCAGUCAUUGAUGACUAAGGAAGAAAACAUCCCAGUAUACCUUGUCAAUAUUCUGCGAUUAUGGAUGUCCGACAGCUCUCUUCUGGUCGGCGUGGAUCCGCUUGUUAGGCCAGUCACCUGCAGUGUCCCACAGUGCUCAGUGCUCUGCCUGAGUCUGUGGUAUGUGAAUUAUGAUGAUCUACUAAUGAUGAAUGUACUAGCCGGAGGUCAGCUAAUUGGCUUUUGGCUUGUGGUAGUUGGAGUGGCCCGGACUGGGCAGGUGUUGGAAGAUCAGAUUAACUCUCUCCUAGAUCGCGUUGAAGCAUGGAUGACCAUUCGAGACCUAAAGUAAUAUAACAUGCGUAUGCAAAUUAAUAGGUAUGUAUUUUAAUUAUAAGCUGUAAGAAAAAUGUAAAAAUAGCGUGUUUAUCACUUUAUCAGUUAUCUACUCUGCGUACUAUACCUACCACAUAAUAAAAAAUACUAAAUUCUAACUUUUAUGGCUU
Acyrthosiphon pisum (pea aphid) is the source of this 797-nucleotide RNA transcript. RefSeq lists it as uncharacterized. The transcript is spliced from 3 exons. NCBI's taxonomy places the organism in Eukaryota, Metazoa, Arthropoda, Insecta, Hemiptera, Aphididae. The record is from RefSeq and is a predicted model, not a curated record.